GAUUCUUUCAUUGUUCUCCAAGCGUCUUAUCAAGAUCUGCAGGAGAAUGAGGGAGGAUCUGUUUUCUUUAGAAAUGAUAUUUCCCACAACCGGGAUCUCCUUGAGGCGGAAAGCUCCGCAAGGAGGUGCCUGGAAGUGGAACAGAGGAUCCGAUGGGAAGAAAUCCCCAAGAGCAAGGCAAGUCUCGAAAGAGCUGAGCACGACCAUGCUAUUGACUUGUUUAAGCUGGAGGAUCUUAGAAGGGAAUUAGAAAAAAAGCAGGGUAGCUUAGUAAUUCUGAUUCUUUUCUCUUCCAGCCCCCGGGCGGGCCCCUCUUUCUUUUCUCUUCCAGCCCCCGGGCCCCUCUUUGAUAAGGAAAGUUUUCAUUUCUAA
This 372-nucleotide ribosomal RNA is filed under the name Triticum aestivum (bread wheat). RNAcentral describes it as "partial small subunit ribosomal RNA". Lineage: Eukaryota; Viridiplantae; Streptophyta; Magnoliopsida; Poales; Poaceae. The record is from RNAcentral.